AGCGACUCUAGCCAAGUUGGAGGAGGAGAAGGUGGUAGAGGCGGAGGAAAAGGAGGAUAGAGGGGAAGGGGAUAAGUGGAGGUUACGCGGGGCGAUGUACACGUAAGACCGGGCGAGAAGAGCGCAUGGCGUGCGUGUGCUUGUGCAUAUGCGCGAUUUCGUGUUCAGAGCGGGAUCUCCUCCCUCGUCACGACACAGGAAUGUUUCCGAAAACCUGGACAAGUUUCUCUCCUCCACGCAGUGGAUUUCUGGAUUCUACACACCGUGUUUUUAAAUUUAUUUAAUAACCGCAAGCCACCUCGUCACCGCAAACGAGUAGACCUUCGCAAGUAUAAUCGCGACACACGAUAUUUUCCGUAUCGAAAACGCAUUAUAUCAUACGUGCGCCUUUCUUUCUUCCUUAUUGUUCUUAGUCAAACUAGCAGAGGAAAAAGAGACGCAAAGAAUUGGAAGAGGAGGAUCUCAGUAGAGAGAUCGAAAUUAAUAUUGGAAUUUGAAACGUGAUUAUUAAUCGCGUGGAGAUGGAAUGAUGAAGGACCGCAAGAGCCAAUAUAACUGUAGAUGUUUAUGGGCGUCGACAGGACAUUUUUUUAUCGGCCCCUAUGGUAGUGCGUUUGCUGCGGGCACAGCUGAAGGAAAUGGAAGAAUAUUUUAACGAAAGCACACUACAGUAAUCGCUGUAGGAGGAUCGCCAUAAGAGGCUCGUCUCUUCCGCUUGCACGCUCUUAGAGGGAAACCGAUUAGAAAUACAAAUUUAAAAUACAGAAAAGAGAAAGGAGCUGUAAACGAGAUACAAUGAAGGUACAAUCAUAGAAGGAUAAUGAUAAAAAACAUAAACAUGUUUAUAUUUUACGUCUGAUUCAUUUAUUUGUCGCAUCGCUGCUGGCGAUUUGUUUUUCGAGCUAUGUAAAAUGACUUUUAAUAAAAAAAAAAAAAUAACACAAAGAGAAUAGAAGGAGAACCAAAACCCAAGAAACAACAAGUAAGAUGUGACACUGAAAAAAAUAUUUAAUUAAACUAACAAAAAGGCCCAAACAAGAACAGCAUACGGAAUUUCAUAUUUCAGAUAACCAAGAAUUUUGUUUGUUCUCAUCAAAAUGUCCAUUCUUGUUGAAGCUUUUUAUAUUGUUUUCGUCAAAACAUUUUUCUCAAGAUAUACUUCAUAACGCAUAAAUUAUAUAUUCACGUUACGUUCGUGGUAUUCAUGGUGUUUUACCAAUCUUAUUCUCUAACGUCCCACAGCCUUCUACAGUCUUUUAUCCCUCUAAUAAUUUUAUAGCAUCAUACUGUUUACGAAAUCAUGAAAUUUCUAAUUAAUGAGAUCGAUCGCCGAGCAAGCAAGCGUGUUCCGCGAAAAAGAAGAUAAAAAAGAAUAUAAGCUUAUGGGGGGAAAAAAAAACGAGUUCGAAUAUCGAUUAUGUUGAAAUAGAUUGAAAACAAGCGAAUAGCAUUUAGUCGCAAAGUAGGAUAAUUAGCGAAAUAGUAAAUGUAUUGCUAACCUUGGCAAAUUUUCCAAAAGACCUUCCGUAUCUGCUUUUAACUUUAUUGCACAAAUGGCACUUCGUUUCUACGCACCUAACUUCCACCACAAGAGCCUGAGUCGACCUGUAUUUAUAGGCACCCGAUCAGGAGAGUAGCCAUAGUCACUAUCGUGCUGAAAACUGAACGCAACCCCCGACCGUAUACUUAUCGUUACUUCUGAGCGUUAUCGAAGCGGCGAUGAAACAACUGCGGGGUGGUACACGACUACUAAUCGAAAUCGAUCGAUCGAACCGUUAUUGUAUUAUAGGAUACGCGCGUUUUUCUCGUUGAACUCCUCAUCGAAUCGAUUAUGCACAAUGCGCGCCUACGAAGAAAUCCUCCGUAUUCCGUGGAUCCACGAAGAAGUAGAUUUGAUCUUCCGCACGUUUUACGACUGAUAAUAACGGUUUAUUCAAAAACACAUUAUUAUACGCGUUAUAUUUUCUAUUUUUUUUUUUUUAAAUCAUGCGCAGACGUUCCGUUAUACUCGUUGUGUAAAAACGCGCGAGAAUGUCUCCACUGCUCGUUAUCGAUCGAAUUUCACCGGGAAACGAAAGAUGAAAAACGCGCGUUUCUAAUUGUUUUAUUGUUCAAAUUAUAAAUAACGUAUUGGGCAACUUUCUGAGCUGAUGCGCUCGUUUCGAUAGACUCCAAGGACUUUUAAUGCACUUACGUAACGAUGCAUAAGCAAUGAAUCAUCGUAUCCUUCUGCCUUCCAUUUUCUGCCUUUACAAUAUAAAGGAAAUGGAAAACCGAUAUACUCUCGUCUCUGCUUUCGGCGUGUCAUCGAUUAUCAGGAAUGAAGAAUGACGUGGAGAAAGUUUAAUACACAAAGUUUAAUAUACAAUGUUCUCUCAUCGUUAUUCCAAUUUACAGCAGUUGACAUUUCAAGCUUUUCUGAUUUUUCUCGCAAUCCUCACAGAUUUCUUUAAGCGCGUUGCGACAGUUUUGAAAUUUAAUAUUAAAUAUUAUUAAAUAUUUAACACAUAUCCGAUAAUUGUUUCAACGAUUAAAUACAACGAAUACAUACAGCUGACAGAGAAAAAUGGAAGGGAAGGGAAAGAUUCAGUAAAAAAAACGAUUGUUAAUUUGCCUGAAAGAAGAAAUAAAAGAAAUUCUCUUCCCGGAGAAAUUCGUGACACAUUCCACGGCAAGUGAGACCGAUCCUUUGUUGAUCCAAGAUACGUAAUAAAGUGUAAGAACGUGGAGAUGUGUUACCUGCUUAUCUUCCGUUCCUAACACACGUUUAACACAAUGAAAGGCAUAAAACAAAUCUAAAAUAUUUCGAAAAUACAAUAGAUACUGUCUUCUUUCUUAAGUAUUUUUAAUUAUAUCUUGUCACUUCAAUUUUCUUUUCUCGCAUUGUAUUUUUACGUACAGACGCACGUUCCUUUUUCCGUCGAGGUCAAAGUUCGUUUUUGCCUCGGUCUGCAUGUUGAAACGUUUCUUCUCCACAUGCGAUCGUAUCA
This is a long non-coding RNA of Acromyrmex echinatior (Panamanian leafcutter ant), 2990 nucleotides long. The record is from RefSeq and is a predicted model, not a curated record. Lineage: Eukaryota; Metazoa; Arthropoda; Insecta; Hymenoptera; Formicidae.